Molecule: ribosomal RNA, 156 nt
Filed under: Amastigomonas sp. EEG-2010a
Lineage: Eukaryota; Apusomonadida; Apusomonadidae
Description: 5.8S ribosomal RNA
Rfam family: 5.8S ribosomal RNA
About the family: 5.8S ribosomal RNA (5.8S rRNA) is a component of the large subunit of the eukaryotic ribosome. It is transcribed by RNA polymerase I as part of the 45S precursor that also contains 18S and 28S rRNA. Functionally, it is thought that 5.8S rRNA may be involved in ribosome translocation.
Source: RNAcentral
CUUUCAACAACGGAUAUCUUGGUUCUCGCAACGAUGAAGAGCGCAUUGAAUGCGAUACGUAAUGUGAAUUGCAGGCUUAGUGAAUCAUCAAAUUCUUGAACGCAAAUGGCACUCGUCGGCUUUUACGGCUGACGAGUAUGUCUGCUUGAGUGUCAC